AUUGAACGCUGGCGGCAGGCCUAACACAUGCAAGUCGAACGGUAACAGGAAACAGCUUGCUGUUUCGCUGACGAGUGGCGGACGGGUGAGUAAUGUCUGGGAAACUGCCUGAUGGAGGGGGAUAACUACUGGAAACGGUAGCUAAUACCGCAUAACGUCGCAAGACCAAAGAGGGGGACCUUCGGGCCUCUUGCCAUCGGAUGUGCCCAGAUGGGAUUAGCUAGUAGGUGGGGUAACGGCUCACCUAGGCGACGAUCCCUAGAUGGUCUGCGAGGAUGACCAGCCACACUGGAACUGAGAAACGGCCCAGACUCCUACGGGAGGCAGCAGUGGGGAAUAUUGCACAAUGGGCGCAAGCCUGAUGCAGCCAUGCCGAGUGUAUGAAGAAGGCCUUCGGGUUGUAAAGUACUUUCAGCGGGGAGGAAGGGAGUAAAGUCAAUACCUUUGCUCAUUGACGUUACCCGCAGAAGAAGCACCGGCUAACUCCGUGCCAGCAGCCGCGGUAA
This 506-nucleotide ribosomal RNA is filed under the name uncultured bacterium. RNAcentral's name for it is "partial 16S ribosomal RNA". It matches the Rfam family "Bacterial small subunit ribosomal RNA", at positions 30 to 523 of the family's 1533-position model. The record is from RNAcentral.